UCGAGCGGUAGAGAGAAGCUUGCUUCUCUUGAGAGCGGCGGACGGGUGAGUAAUGCCUAGGAAUCUGCCUAGUGGUGGGGGAUAACGUUCGGAAACGGACGCUAAUACCGCAUACGUCCUACGGGAGAAAGCGGGGGAUCUUCGGACCUCGCGCCAUUAGAUGAGCCUAGGUCGGAUUAGCUAGUUGGUGAGGUAAUGGCUCACCAAGGCGACGAUCCGUAACUGGUCUGAGAGGAUGAUCAGUCACACUGGAACUGAGACACGGUCCAGACUCCUACGGGAGGCAGCAGUGGGGAAUAUUGGACAAUGGGCGAAAGCCUGAUCCAGCCAUGCCGCGUGUGUGAAGAAGGUCUUCGGAUUGUAAAGCACUUUAAGUUGGGAGGAAGGGCAGUAACCUAAUACGUUAUUGUUUUGACGUUACCGACAGAAUAAGCACCGGCUAACUUCGUGCCAGCAGCCGCGGUAAUACGAAGGGUGCAAGCGUUAAUCGGAAUUACUGGGCGUAAAGCGCGCGUAGGUGGUUCAGUAAGUUGGAAGUGAAAUCCCCGGGCUCAACCUGGGAACUGCUUUCAAAACUGCUGAGCUAGAGUACGGUAGAGGGUGGUGGAAUUUCCUGUGUAGCGGUGAAAUGCGUAGAUAUAGGAAGGAACACCAGUGGCGAAGGCGACCACCUGGACUGAUACUGACACUGAGGUGCGAAAGCGUGGGGAGCAAACAGGAUUAGAUACCCUGGUAGUCCACGCCGUAAACGAUGUCAACUAGCCGUUGGGAGUCUUGAACUCUUAGUGGCGCAGCUAACGCAUUAAGUUGACCGCCUGG
Molecule: ribosomal RNA, 819 nt
Filed under: uncultured bacterium
Lineage: Bacteria
Description: bacterial SSU rRNA
Rfam family: Bacterial small subunit ribosomal RNA
Source: RNAcentral